Long non-coding RNA from Rhineura floridana, 821 nucleotides. RefSeq lists it as uncharacterized. Lineage: Eukaryota; Metazoa; Chordata; Lepidosauria; Squamata; Rhineuridae. The record is from RefSeq and is a predicted model, not a curated record. The transcript is spliced from 3 exons.
UCAACAUCUAUCAGGACACAUCCCCUUUCACUCAAGCUGCUAUGGAGCCCUUCAGCCGUUCCACCUCCCCAGCUGAGCAAAUGCUACCACAGAGCAGCUCUGAAAGAAGCCUCUCUGUUCCAAGUGUUUUACCAUCCAGAAAGUGGAAAUACUAGAUUUAUUGCUGGGACAAUAUAUUGAAUGCUCUCAAAGUCUGCUUCUAGAAGAAUCUCAUUUACGAGCUCCCUCCCCCCAAACUGACAUUGAGUAAGACCCAAGGACUUUGUCUGGCAUAGCUGGAUCUUGGGAGAAGGCACCAGACAUUGCCAUGGGUAGAGAAGGAUGAUAAGCAGGGUUGACUCUUCUGCCAGAGCACCAAGGCAUUUUCACCUUGAAUAUACUGAAUAGAUGAUCACUGGAAAAUCCAAGCCUGCGAAGGGAUUCCUCUGUUUUCCAGUCAGCUUGCCUGGGAGAUUAGAUGAUGACGACGACAUCAUUGUCUUCUUCUUCUUCUUCAUUUUUGCCCACCUGUGCAAGUCAUCCAGAGCUAUUUAUAUCUCAGGCACCUAUUUAUUCACUCCUGCUCUCAACUUUUCGUCCUAUGAUCUGAGCGAUGUAUGUUAACUUGCAAUAAUAAUAAUAAUAAAUUAUUUGAUGUUAGGAAUCAUGUUUUGAUCUUUGAUAUUUGAGGAGAGGGUUGCAAGCAGGUAAUCUUUAGUUUGAUACUAGACUUGUAAUUUGAUAAUAUCCUAAUUAAAGAGGCCUCAUAAUGCUCACAGAAGUGUUUUCCAUUAAAAUGCUACCUCCUUUCUACUCUCUAUUUUAAAAGCCAAAUGAAAUAU